RNAcentral lists this unclassified non-coding RNA (322 nucleotides) under Hevea brasiliensis (rubber tree). The record is from RNAcentral. Lineage: Eukaryota; Viridiplantae; Streptophyta; Magnoliopsida; Malpighiales; Euphorbiaceae.
UAGUCUUGCUUUGUGGCUACUCUUGCUGAAAAUUCUGAACAACUUAUCAUAUAAGAUGUGUGAUUUUAUUGAAUGGCUUCUUCUUCUUUAUCAUUAUCUAGCUUUUCUAUUGUUGAAAAUUAACUAAUAUUUAUGAGACUCUUCUUUUGCGUAGGUACAACGAUUCAAUGUUUGCAUACGUUAGUUGAAGUGGAAUAGUUUGUCAUGUGAUGCAUUUAAUUUCUUGGAAAAAGACUAGCGAUUGUUAAUUCAAUGGAUCCUAAUGCUAUAAAAAGAUUAAUCAUUAAUUUUUGAUAAAUUCUUAUUAUAAUAAAAAUCAAUA